Molecule: ribosomal RNA, 253 nt
Filed under: uncultured bacterium
Lineage: Bacteria
Description: partial 16S ribosomal RNA
Rfam family: Bacterial small subunit ribosomal RNA
Source: RNAcentral
UACGUAGGUGGCAAGCGUUGUCCGGAAUUAUUGGGCGUAAAGCGCGCGCAGGCGGUCCUUUAAGUCUGAUGUGAAAGCCCACGGCUCAACCGUGGAGGUCAUUGGAAACUGGGGGACUUGAGUACAGAAGAGAAGAGUGGAAUUCCACGUGUAGCGGUGAAAUGCGUAGAGAUGUGGAGGAACACCAGUGGCGAAGGCGACUCUUUGGUCUGUAACUGACGCUGAGGCGACGAAAGCGUGGGGAGCAAACAGG